This 515-nucleotide long non-coding RNA is filed under the name Numida meleagris (helmeted guineafowl). RNAcentral's name for it is "lncRNA (ENSNMEG00000002654.1)". The record is from RNAcentral. Lineage: Eukaryota; Metazoa; Chordata; Aves; Galliformes; Numididae.
UUUCCCUCAGCUUUUCCAUUUUUCCUCCAAUUUCCCCUCAGCUUUUCCAUUAUUUUCCCCUCAGCUUUUCCCUCCAAUUUUCCAUUUUCCCUUUAAUUUUCCCCUCAGCUUUUCCAUGCUUUUCCAUUAUUUUCCCUCAGAUUUUUUGUUUUUUCCCCUUUUUUCCUCUCAAUUUUUUCCCUUUUUCUCUCAGUCUUUUCUUUCCUCCCCCCCCAAAUUUCCCUCACUUUUUCCCCAAUCCCUUUUUCCCCUCAAAUUUCCCGAUUUUUCCCCUUAUUUUCCUUUUUCUCUCAGAUUUUUCCUUUUUUCUCCCUUUUUCCCCUCAAAUUUUCCUUUUUUUUCCCCCUCUUUUUCCCCCAAAUUCAUUUUCCCCCAUUUUCCCCCCUUUCUGCCCAUUUCCUCCCCAACUCUCCCCCUCAUUCCCUGAUUUUUGCCCAUUUUCCCCCAUAUUUCCCCCUCAACUCCCGGAAAUGUUAAAAAAUAAAGGUUUUUUUUGCCUGUUUUUGUGCUUUUUU